AGUACGCAGUGCAGUGCAUGC
Molecule: unclassified non-coding RNA, 21 nt
Filed under: Chlamydomonas reinhardtii
Lineage: Eukaryota; Viridiplantae; Chlorophyta; Chlorophyceae; Chlamydomonadales; Chlamydomonadaceae
Description: small RNA Cre_0617
Source: RNAcentral